AGGGUUUGAUCAUGGCUCAGGAUGAACGCCGGCGGUGUGCCUAAUACAUGCAAGUCGAACGCGUUGGCCCAACUGAUUGAACGUGCUUGCACGGACUUGACGUUGGUUUACCAGCGAGUGGCGGACGGGUGAGUAACACGUAGGUAACCUGCCCCAAAGCGGGGGAUAACAUUUGGAAACAGAUGCUAAUACCGCAUAACAAUUUGAAUCGCAUGAUUCAAAUUUAAAAGAUGGCUUCGGCUAUCACUUUGGGAUGGACCUGCGGCGCAUUAGCUUGUUGGUAGGGUAACGGCCUACCAAGGCUGUGAUGCGUAGCCGAGUUGAGAGACUGAUCGGCCACAAUGGAACUGAGACACGGUCCAU
Molecule: ribosomal RNA, 363 nt
Filed under: uncultured bacterium
Lineage: Bacteria
Description: bacterial SSU rRNA
Rfam family: Bacterial small subunit ribosomal RNA
Source: RNAcentral